RNAcentral lists this ribosomal RNA (392 nucleotides) under uncultured bacterium. Its description in RNAcentral is "bacterial SSU rRNA". It matches the Rfam family "Bacterial small subunit ribosomal RNA", at positions 29 to 424 of the family's 1533-position model. The record is from RNAcentral.
AUUGAACGCUGGCGGCAUGCCUUACACAUGCAAGUCGAACGGCAGCGCGGGAGCAAUCCUGGCGGCGAGUGGCGAACGGGUGAGUAAUAUAUCGGAACGUGCCCAGUAGUGGGGGAUAGCCCGGCGAAAGCCGGAUUAAUACCGCAUGAGACCUGAGGGUGAAAGCGGGGGAUCGCAAGACCUCGCGCUAUUGGAGCGGCCGAUAUCAGAUUAGCUAGUUGGUGGGGUAAAGGCCUACCAAGGCAACGAUCUGUAGUUGGUCUGAGAGGACGACCAGCCACACUGGGACUGAGACACGGCCCAGACUCCUACGGGAGGCAGCAGUGGGGAAUUUUGGACAAUGGGCGCAAGCCUGAUCCAGCAAUGCCGCGUGCAGGAAGAAGGCCUCGGUU